Gasterosteus aculeatus aculeatus (three-spined stickleback) is the source of this 1972-nucleotide long non-coding RNA. NCBI's taxonomy places the organism in Eukaryota, Metazoa, Chordata, Actinopteri, Perciformes, Gasterosteidae. The record is from Ensembl.
GUUGUUUUUUUUUUUUUGUGGCUCGUGAUGAUCGCGUCAUCAACGUGCGUCGGGUCUGGCGUUUUGCACCAUGGCGUCGCGCGGAGGGGCGGAGGUAAUGUUUGAAAGUAAAGCGUUGAGAAGAGCAAUCGCCUUCUGUUCACUGCAAAUAGCGUAUUUAGAGUGUUUUAGCGGAGCUUUGAAAACACGAACCCCCACAGAACUGCAGACCGCGUUUUUACGAGUUUAUUUAAAGAUCUCGCGCAUGCGCGCUCUCUGCCGGUGGCUCAUAACACAAAUGGUCUUUUCCUGCUGUUUAGUACAGUUUAUAUAUCACCAAAGGGAGCCAUUAUUACAUACAUAUUACAUUAUUAUUAUUAUUAUUAUUAUUAUUACACCACAACACGGCCGUCCCUUCACUUCCACCCUUUUACAACAGAAUAUUGCGUUAUAGAUUCAAAUCGUGACCAACGGUGUCAUCUGUCACUGUAUCCGACACACUGUACAGUAUCUUGUCGCUACAAUCCUCCAGUCCACGCACGUCCAUACCGCGUUUAUUCAUUUGUAUGAUAUUAGAAAUAAACUGACGACCCGGUUCAUAAAUUAAUAAAAUGCAUGUAGUGUACACCAGAAUACAGCCAUGAUUCUGGAGCUGUGUAAUCAAUAAAGUAAUGACAAUAUUGUAAAACCACUGUACUCUUGAAACUGUAAUCAAAAGAAUAAUACCAAUGCACAGCUAUGAUUGUAUUUACUGGAAUGCAUGCAUGCAGUACAACUGAUAUGGACUGAGAGACAUUCGAAAUCAGAGUUUGAACCCACCAGAAGACGACUCCCAGAGGUGUGGACACUGACUUUCACACCUUUACUGAACUGUAUAAACGCCUGUAGUCAACCAGGGUUCUCCAGUUGGCUGGUGGAGGCAACAGACAGUCACUAUGGGGGGUCAAUGGGCCCUGGGGCCUGUUGAUUGCAGAGACCAGAUUGUGUUAAAGAGAUGUUCUCUUUAACACAACACCCUGUCCUUUAUUAAAUACUUUUGAUUUUAACUUUUCGAUCCGCGAUGUCUUUUAACAGUUGACUGUAUUUUUGUUUUAUUUCUCAUUUUAUUGUUGGUCAUUGUUGUUGUUUUUAAUAUAUGUUUUAUCAUAUCAUCGUAAAUACGAUUUUCUUUUGUCCGUCCUGACUUGAUUUUCUCCGUUUUGUUGUUCUGCGCAUCUAUUUCUGUCAUAGUUCAAAUUCCUGCCUCACAAACCAUUCAAAGGACUCAGAUUUUAAAUGCAUGUAUACAUAUAAUUUAGUGUGCUAUUGUGUGGCAGAGGUACAAGAAAAGUAUUCUAAUUCAAAUUAUUUUGCUUUUUUAUAUUUAUUUAUAUGCAUGAGUCUACCCAUUUUGUGGUGAGUAGAUGGCAUUGCAGUAUGUAAUAAAAAAAAGAGGGGAGGUUGCUGGCAGUUGAAGGGUGAGGCUUUCAUGUAGCCUCCUCUGGCUGAUACCCCCACACACAGGUCUGCAUGUUAAUUAUCACUUUGUCGUCACUUUGUUACUUGAUCGCUAGUGCACUUUAUGCUUAAUAUUCAAACUUUUUUAAUAUUUUAAAUGUUUACCUUUAACUUUAUUCCCUUGUUUUAUACUAACACAUAGCCUUAUUCUUUUUUUUUUUUUUACCAACCCAUUGCAUUAGCAUUUCAUUUUGCUUUAUUUAUUUAUUACUUGUGCACUGUUGUCCUGUUGUCUACACUGUCUACUGUCACGCACCAACCGCCAAGACAAAUUCCUUGUAUGUUUGACAUAUUUUGGCAAUAAAUGUUUCCUGAUUCCUGAUAAAUAAAUAAUCUAUGAAUAAAUGAAUAAAUAAAUGCUGAAUAUUUACAUAUAAACAAAUAGAUAUCAUAUAUUUAUUUCUACAUUUCUGUUCGCCUAUAUUUCUUUACGUAUUUACGCUUGAGUCAUUUUUGACCACCAUAUGGAUGUAUCCUUAGUGCGACGGCACAAUAA